This 252-nucleotide ribosomal RNA is filed under the name uncultured bacterium. RNAcentral describes it as "partial 16S ribosomal RNA". It matches the Rfam family "Bacterial small subunit ribosomal RNA", at positions 524 to 776 of the family's 1533-position model. The record is from RNAcentral.
UACGUAGGUGGCAAGCGUUGUCCGGAUUAUUGGGCGUAAAGCGCUCGCAGGUGGUUCGUCGCGUCGUGCGUGAAAGACCCCGGCUCAACUGGGGAGGGUCGUGCGAUACGGGCGAACUGGAGGCCAGUAGGGGGAUGCGGAAUUCCGGGUGUAGUGGUGGAAUGCGUAGAGAUCCGGAGGAACACCAGCGGCGAAGGCGGCAUCCUGGACUGGUCCUGACACUCAGGAGCGAAAGCGUGGGGAGCGAUCCGG